GAUCGCCAGCGCCGAGCUCACCCGGCCAAGCCGCGGUGCGGGGGGAGAGAGCGAUGUCCCCCCGAUACCCUAACGACGGGCCAAACCCAUCUGGCCGGAAAACGCGUGAGCUAAUCGAAGCGGCCCCUGCCGUCUCCUAGAAAUGCCAUCAUCCCCGACUCUCUUCAGAGGCCCCAGAAGAUCUCAGACCUCGUGCCCCAAGUUCAUUUCGGUCCAACGCGCAGCUAGUAGAAAGCAUUCACCGUAUCCGCAAAGAGCCUUCAGCCUCCGGGCUUCGCCAGACCUUCGAAUUCGGACCCCCGAGCCCUCUCCGAAACUCCCAGAGGACGGCAAUCGGAGCUCUAAUCCAGCACGGGAGCCCACCUGCUUAGUAACAGGCGGCUAAAAGGGAGAGCUGGAGAGUAUUGAUAAUAAUAACGAUGUCGGUA
Long non-coding RNA from Ornithorhynchus anatinus (platypus), 428 nucleotides. RefSeq lists it as uncharacterized. Lineage: Eukaryota; Metazoa; Chordata; Mammalia; Monotremata; Ornithorhynchidae. The record is from RefSeq and is a predicted model, not a curated record. The transcript has 2 exons.